Takifugu rubripes (torafugu) is the source of this 119-nucleotide ribosomal RNA. The record is from Ensembl. Lineage: Eukaryota; Metazoa; Chordata; Actinopteri; Tetraodontiformes; Tetraodontidae.
GCUUACGGCCAUACCACCCUGAGAACGCCCGAUCUCGUCCGAUCUUGGAAGCUAAGCAGGGUCGGGCCUGGUUAGUACUUGGAUGGGAGACCGCCUGGGAAUACCAGGUGCUGUAAGCU